This 267-nucleotide long non-coding RNA is filed under the name Homo sapiens (human). Its description in RNAcentral is "HSALNT0127952". Lineage: Eukaryota; Metazoa; Chordata; Mammalia; Primates; Hominidae. The record is from RNAcentral.
CAGGCUGUACAGGAAGCAUAAUGCUGGCAUCUGCUCGGCUUCUGGGGAGGCCUCAGGAAACUUUUAAUCACUGCAGAAGGCAAAGGGGAAACAGGCAAGACUUACUUGGCAGGAGGAGAAAGGGUAAAGCUGGAAAAUGAAAGUAAUUUUCCAAGGUGGCCAAAGACUGUUGCCUACCUCUGAAUUUUUAGCAUCUGACACUGCUUCUAAAUUACAUGAUGGUUUGGAGUACUGCUUCCUGCAAGAAUCAUAGAAAUUCCUGUUUAC